This 1822-nucleotide long non-coding RNA is filed under the name Salmo salar (Atlantic salmon). RNAcentral describes it as "lncRNA (ENSSSAG00000084567.1)". The record is from RNAcentral. Lineage: Eukaryota; Metazoa; Chordata; Actinopteri; Salmoniformes; Salmonidae.
CCAUUAUGACGCCGGCGGCCAUGUCUGCCCCCACCUUUGGAAACGGUUUUAAAGGCAAUGAAAUCAUCCCCCUCGAAUCUUAUUGGCUCUCUUGGUGUUAGAGGCCCUGAACAUUUAUUUUAUACAACGUUUGACAUGUUUGAACGAACCUACAUGCGCGAGGAUUGCUUUCAGUAUGAAGUGCAGAGCUGCUUUGGAGAGAGCCAUAGGACGCGCGCUACCAACAUCAGGCUAAUGGAACGUGAAGUAUGGCCUUUUUGACCGAAAAUACAUCUGUUGUGGACCUGGGAUGCUUUCUGAUGAAGACAACUAAAGGGAAAAUACUUCUCCAUUGGUGGAACGCUGGGUGUAAGCUGUGCACCUGUGGAUGGAUGCUCUGGCCUCUGAUUUUGUCGGUUAGCUUAUCAAAGGACAACUCUAACCACACAGCCAAGACAACGCAGGAGUGGCUUCGGGACAAGUCUCUGAAUGUCCAUGAGUGGCCCAGCCAGAGCCCGGACUUGAACCUGAUAGAACAUCUCUGGAGAGAUGCUCCGCAUACAACUUGACAGAGCUUGAGAGGAUCUGCAGAGAAGAAUGGGAGAAACUCCCCAAAUCCAGGUGUACUAAGCAUCAUACCCAAGAAGACUCUAGGCUGCAAUCACUGCCAAAGGGAAAUGAACGGGACUCCCUAAAAGACAGCAAGUGAGCGUGGCUGCCUGGGCUUAGGAUGCAGAGCUCGUAUCCACGCCUACCACGGAGCACUCGUCGUGCCCAACACUAACUAAAGACGGACCUGAACCCUCCCUUCACAGAGACUGGAACCUGUGUAGAGAAAGAGAUUUAAUGGAGAGUUUAGGCCUUUUCUCCCAACUAAAAGUGGAAGAACUGAUGUCACGGGCAGACUCAACUACAUGUGGAUGAGUAUAGACUGUUGGAAAUUAAGAUGAAUGUUUGGUGGAUUAUUAUGCAAGAUGCCUUUUCAAAGAGGAAUUGCUAUUUUGGAGGAGAAACUUUUAAAUGCAGCUUUAUGUACAAAUGCAAAUCAUUUACCCACCCCAGCACAGGACAAUGAUUUAAGAUCAAGGGCCUGAUUACCUGCAUGUCCACCAAUGUUAUUUACAUGUUGAAAUGUACCUAUGGUCUGUCUUACAUAGAGAAAACCUGUAGAAGUCUUCAGACACAGAUCAGUGAGCACAAAAAAUAUGGUUGCUGCUCAUUUUGUACAAGCUGAACAUGCUAUUAGUUCUCUGAGAUACAUUGGAAUAGAAAUGGUCAAGAUGUCACGCAGGGGAGGGGACAAUGAGAGGAAACUUCUUCAAAGGGAAUCUUUCUGGAUCCACAGGCUCAACACACUGUCUCCUCUUGGCCUUAAUGUGGAGUUUGGAUUGAAACCGUUUUUAUAGUUUAAUAUUUCUAAAUUGUGUUGUUUUUAAUACUAAUUGAAUAUUGUGUGUAUAUUACUGUAAACAUUGAUCACAUUCCCUGUGCAUGAUCAUAUAUUUUGAUACAUCGAAUGUUAAUAUUGUGAAACUAUUGUCACGCACUGACCUGAGAGCCUUUUUAUGUCUCUAUUUAGGUUUGGUCAGGGUGUGAUUUGGGUGGGCAUUCUAUGUCCUUUUUUCUAUGUUUUUGUAUUUCUUUGUUUUGGCCUGGUAUGGCUCUCAAUCAGGGACAGCUGUACAUCGUUGUCGCUGAUUGGGAGCCAUACUUAGGCAGCCUGUUUUCCUUUGGGGUUUUGUGGGUAGUUGUUUUCUGUCUUGUGUGUUCACCUGGCAGAACUGUUGACUUUCGUUUUCUUGUGUUAUUUAAAGUGAUUCAUUAAAGUUAAUAUGAGCACUUA